Long non-coding RNA from Passer montanus (Eurasian tree sparrow), 2598 nucleotides. RefSeq lists it as uncharacterized. The record is from RefSeq and is a predicted model, not a curated record. NCBI's taxonomy places the organism in Eukaryota, Metazoa, Chordata, Aves, Passeriformes, Passeridae. The transcript is spliced from 14 exons.
CGGGGCAGGUGGAGGAUGUUCGCAGCAGUCUCACCUCGGAAGACGGCCAGGGUGCCAUUGGGCAGGGCCACCAUGCCGUCCGCUGGCUUGCCGCUGCACAGGUCCUUCUCGUCGUUCUUCUCUGCAAAACACAGCCAGAAUGUGGUUUCCUCACUCAGUACUGAAGAAGCUGAGGGCCUGGUGUGACCCCUCCUGAAGGUGUGGGGAGCAGAGGUUUGCUCUGAGGCAGCCUGAGGACCACCAGCAUCGUGUAUUCAGAAAAGCCUUUAAACUCAGUGUAGCUGCAGACAUUAUGGAACAUCUUGAAGAGCAGGAGGAGGAAAAGCAGAUUUGCUGGCUGGUUACAUCUGUGGAUGUAAUGGAGUUCUCUGGAGUUUUGGCCUGUAUGGACUAUUUCUACUGAAUCAUAACUGCAAGAAAACAAGAGGUUUAACUAAAGGAAGAAAAAAAGUCAAGUAGCAUUUCAACAUGAAGAAUAGCUCAGGAUAAGAAGAAUGAAGAAAAUUAACAUGCAAAAGGAGCUGCACUUAAGCCAUUCAGACUCUCCAGCAUUAAUGGAAGUUGGCGAGGAAGGUGCUUUAGCUUUCCAGACUUCAUUGUGGUGCUGAGUGACAGCAAUGAGAUUCAUCUGGUUUUGGGCUGAAUCAAAGCUCUCCACUGGAUCAGAGGCUGAAGUCCACAAGGUCACUGGAAAUGUGCCAGGUGCCUCCUCUGCACCCCGGCCAGGGGAUCCUACAGCAGUGCUGUGUGUGCUGCUCCCUCUCGUGUGUGACAGCAGGCCAGGCACUGGGAUUCCAGCCUCGUAAAAUAAUCCAUGGAUUUCAGCUGUUGCACUGGGCCAAGUUUUCAUUGGCAGCAACCUUGGAUUUGAGCUGCCAGAACUGGAAACGCCUGUGAAGGCAAAGGGCUCCAGCACUCCCCCUGGACCCCGGGAGCAGUGUCCUGCCUGUAAGUGCCCCGCCGCUGCGGGCGGUGACGGCUGCGUGACUCAGCAUCCGCCUUGGUUUCGCACCCACUGUCUGGAUCUGACUUGGAAGUGGACAUUUCCCACUCAGGCACAGCUGCUCUGGUCUUUGCUGAGCAUCUAUCUCACCUGAUGACAUGUUUUGCCUUUAGCCAACAGUGCUGUGUUUCCAGCACAGGCUCAUUACUGUACCCAUGCAGUAGCUUUUCACUUCAGCCAGUCUGUGAAGGAAAACAAAGCCCCAGUGCAUUUCCUCUCUCCAGAGGCUGGCAAGCUGGAUCCCUACAGAAGGCAUGGGCUGAGUGCUCUGGGCACUGCUGCAGCAAGCAGAUGGCUGGAUCCAAGGUAUGCCCACCAGGAGGGCUACUUCACUUGGUGCACUGGAAAGGGAAGAAAAAACAAGGGGAUAACAAGUGGGGAUGUCUAACAUUGGUUAAUAAUAUACAAAAAUAGAGACAAAAUUCUACUGGGAGACAAUUUGUUCCAGUGGCUGAAAAUCUACUGGUGAUAAUCUCUUACUACCCCAGAGUGCCAAGAAGAGGGAAAAGAGCUGCAGCUGCUCCCUGGUUUGCUGGGCAUGGUACAUUCUGCAUUGUCCCCUGGCCCUUCGGAACAUACUGUGGAAAGUGACCAUUCCAGUGUAAUAAAUAAAGCAAGUGGGAACAGGUCCUCAAAGCCACGGAUCUUCCUCUUGAAUUGGAACAACAGGACUGGAGAGGCAGCCUCCGGGAAGCAGGGGAGGAGAAAAGCACAUAGCACCCUUUGAAGUGCGGUGGUUCCCGUACAGGCAGGCUGCAGCAGCCUGGCCCCGGGGAAGGAGGUGGAACUCAGUAGGGGAAGGCGGACACGGCGAUGUAGAUGAUGAAGGUGGUGCGGUACUCGACGCUGCCCUCGGCGCUGUAGGACAGGGCCCGCACGCCCAUGCGGAUCAUUCCAGAAAGAUGUUGGCUGCACUGAUAUCAUUGAUGGCCAUAGGGUUUUGCCGUUGGGCAUGAGGCGGUAUCCCGCGGGACAGGCACACUGGAAGCUGCCCAGGCUGUUCCUGCACUCGUGCUGACACGUGUCUCUGCUCUCACACUCAUCGAUGUCUGUGGAGAGAAGCACCAACACCUCAGCACUCCCUGAGCCUGCCAUGAACACAGCUAGGAUGAAGAUCAAAAUUGGAAACAAACCCUUCUCUCAGAGUUGUAUUCCUGGGUCUCUCAAUUUAACUCCUAUACCAUAACAAUCCACAUGGAUGUGACUACUGAAACCUCUCUGGAGCUUAAAUACAAGUUUACUGCUGCCAGUGGGAGUCUGACAGAAGCACUGUAACCAGGCUGGGGCUGCUGGUGGCUUUUGUUGUGUGAGAAGAUUCACCAACGUGAGCUACCAUGACCAGGAGAAAGAAUAACAGAGGGAAAUACUUUGCAUACAGGUAAUAAACAGCACAAUUAAUACAAGAGGUUAUAAGGAGGUGUGAGAACAUUUUUGCUACAAUGUGAGCCAAGACAGCAGAGACCAGAACAUGCAGAACCCUCUGAAUAUUGAUGAGGGUAAUUGAAAACACAACCCCAGCACCACAAACCCUCAGCCCCUGGUAUAUAUCACAGAGUAACCUAAGAAUAAGGCCCAAAAUAGAGUUGCAUAGAUAG